UACAUAGGGUGCAAGCGUUGUCCGGAAUUAUUGGGCGUAAAGAGCUCGUAGGUGGUCGAUCACGUCGGAUGUGAAAUUCUGAGGCUUAACCUCGGACCUGCAUUCGAUACGGGUUGACUAGAGUGUGGUAGGGGAGACUGGAAUUCCUGGUGUAGCGGUGGAAUGCGCAGAUAUCAGGAGGAACACCGAUGGCGAAGGCAGGUCUCUGGGCCGUUACUGACACUGAGGAGCGAAAGCGUGGGGAGCGAACAGGAUUAGAUACCCUGGUAGUCCACGCCGUAAACGGUGGGCGCUAGUUGUGGGAACCUUCCACGGUUUCUGCGACGCAGCUAACGCAUUAAGCGCCCCGCCUGGGGAGUACGGUCGCAAGACUAAAACUCAAAGAAAUUGACGGGGCCCCGCACAAGCAGCGGAGCAUGCGGCUUAAUUCGACGCAACGCGAAGAACCUUACCAAGGCUUGACAUAUACAGGAAUACGGCAGAGAUGUCGUAGCCGCAAGGUCUGUAUACAGGUGGUGCAUGGUUGUCGUCAGCUCGUGUCGUGAGAUGUUGGGUUAAGUCCCGCAACGAGCGCAACCCUCGUCCUGUGUUACCAGCAUUUAGUUGGGGACUCACAGGAGACUGCCGGGGUCAACUCGGAGGAAGGUGGGGAUGACGUCAAAUCAUCAUGCCCCUUAUGUCUUGGGCUGCACGCAUGCUACAAUGGCUGGUACAAAGGGCUGCGAUACCGCGAGGUGGAGCGAAUCCCAAAAAGCCAGUCUCAGUUCGGAUUGGGGUCUGCAACUCGACCCCAUGAAGUCGGAGUUGCUAGUAAUCGUAGAUCAGCAACGCUACGGUGAAUACGUUCCCGGGGCU
Molecule: ribosomal RNA, 855 nt
Filed under: uncultured bacterium
Lineage: Bacteria
Description: SSU rRNA
Rfam family: Bacterial small subunit ribosomal RNA
Source: RNAcentral